RNAcentral lists this ribosomal RNA (480 nucleotides) under uncultured organism. RNAcentral describes it as "bacterial SSU rRNA". It matches the Rfam family "Bacterial small subunit ribosomal RNA", at positions 28 to 507 of the family's 1533-position model. The record is from RNAcentral.
GACGAACGCUGGCGGCGUGCCUAAUACAUGCAAGUCGAGCGGGGCUGUUUGCUGGAAGCCUUCGGGCGGAAAGCUUGCAGCCUAGCGGCGGACGGGUGAGUAACGCGUGGGUAACCUGUCCUGAAGUACGGGAUAACAGUUCGAAAGGGCUGCUAAUACCGUAUGUGGUCAAGGGGAGUUCGCUUUCUUUGACUAAAGGUGAAAACCGCUUCAGGGUGGGCCCGCGUCCCAUUAGCUAGUUGGUAGGGUAAUGGCCUACCAAGGCGACGAUGGGUAGCCGGCCUGAGAGGGUGACCGGCCACACUGGGACUGAGACACGGCCCAGACUCCUACGGGAGGCAGCAGUAGGGAAUCUUGCGCAAUGGGGGAAACCCUGACGCAGCGACGCCGCGUGAGUGAAGAAGGCCUUCGGGUCGUAAAGCUCUGUCCUCCGGGAAGAUAAUGACGGUACCGGAGGAGGAAGCCCCGGCUAACUACGUG